UGGGGAAUAUUGGACAAUGGGGGCAACCCUGAUCCAGCAAUGCCGCGUGUGUGAAGAAGGCCUGCGGGUUGUAAAGCACUUUCGGUAGGGAGGAAGGCACUAUGUUUAAUAUGCAUAGUGAUUGACGUUACCUACAGAAGAAGCACCGGCUAACUCUGUGCCAGCAGCCGCGGUAAUACAGAGGGUGCGAGCGUUAAUCGGAAUUACUGGGCGUAAAGGGUGCGUAGGUGGUUGAUUAAGUUAGAUGUGAAAUCCCUGGGCUUAACCUAGGAAUUGCAUUUAAAACUGGUUGACUAGAGUGUGGUAGAGGGAAGUGGAAUUUCCGGUGUAGCGGUGAAAUGCGUAGAUAUCGGAAGGAACAUCAGUGGCGAAGGCGACUUCCUGGACCAUUACUGACACUGAGGCACGAAAGCGUGGGGAGCGAACAGGAUUAGAUACCCCUGUAGUCC
Molecule: ribosomal RNA, 449 nt
Filed under: uncultured bacterium
Lineage: Bacteria
Description: bacterial SSU rRNA
Rfam family: Bacterial small subunit ribosomal RNA
Source: RNAcentral